AAAUUGAAGAGUUUGAUCAUGGCUCAGAUUGAACGCUGGCGGCAGGCCUAACACAUGCAAGUCGAACGGUAACAGGAAGCAGCUUGCUUCUU
This 92-nucleotide ribosomal RNA is filed under the name Escherichia coli. RNAcentral describes it as "partial 16S ribosomal RNA". It matches the Rfam family "Bacterial small subunit ribosomal RNA", at positions 1 to 90 of the family's 1533-position model. RNAcentral also lists the same sequence under 1 other name. Lineage: Bacteria; Pseudomonadati; Pseudomonadota; Gammaproteobacteria; Enterobacterales; Enterobacteriaceae. The record is from RNAcentral.